UGAAUACGAGACGCUAAGGCGUCGAAGUAGUGUAUGUCAUACUUCCAAGAAAAGCUUGCACUGUCAUAGAUAAAAAACGCCUGUACCAUAACCGACACAGGUGGGUAGGUAGAGUAUACUAAGGGGCGCGAGAUAACUCUCUCUAAGGAACUCGGCAAAAUAACUCCGUAACUUCGGAGAAGGAGUGCCUUAUUCGUAAGGUUGCAAUAACAAGAUCCAAGCAACUGUUUAUCAAAAACACAGGUCUCCGCUAAGUCGUAAGACGAUGUAUGGGGGCUGACGCCUGCCCAGUGCCAGAAGGUUAAAGAAGUUGGUUAGCAAUUGCGAAGCUGAUAACUGAAGCCCUGGUGAACGGCGGCCGUAACUAUAACGGUCCUAAGGUAGCGAAAUUCCUUGUCGGGUAAGUUCCGACCCGCACGAAAGGCGUAAUGAUUUGGAUACUGUCUCGGAGAGGGGCUCGGUGAAAUAGACUUGUCUGUGAAGAUGCGGACUACCUGCACCAGGACAGAAAGACCCUAUGAAGCUUUACUGUAACUUGAAAUUGAAAUUGGACUUUAUUCGCGCAGUAUAGGUGGGAGGCGUUGAUUAUAAUCUUGUGGGAUUAUUGGAGCCAUCAGUGAGAUACCACUCUUGUAAUGUUAGAUUUCUAACUUUGAAUCAUUAUCUGGUCAAAGAACAGUUUCAGGCGGGCAGUUUGACUGGGGCGGUCGCCUCCUAAACGGUAACGGAGGCGUACAAAGGUUUCCUCUGAACGGUUAGAAAUCGUAUCUAGAGUGUAAAGGCAUAAGGAAGCUUGACUGUGAGACCUACAAGUCGAGCAGGGACGAAAGUCGGUCUUAGUGAUCUGACGGUACUGAGUGGAAAGGCCGUCACUCAACGGAUAAAAGUUACUCUAAGGAUAACAGGCUGAUCUCCCCCAAGAGUUCACAUCGACGGGGAGGUUUGGCACCUCGAUGUCGGCUCAUCGCAUCCUGGGGCGGUAGUACGUCCCAAGGGUUGGGCUGUUCGCCCAUGAAAGCGGUACGCGAGCUGGGUUCAGAACGUCGUGAGACAGUUCGGUCCAUAUCCGGUGUAGGCGUUAGAAUAUUGAGAGGAGCCUUCUUUAGUACGAGAGGACCGAGAAGGACAUACCUCUGGUGUACCAGUUAUCGUGCCAACGGUAAACGCUGGGUAGCUAUGUAUGGAGUGGAUAACCGCUGAAAGCAUCUAAGUGGGAAGCCCACCUCAAGAUAAGUAUUCUCAUC
This 1244-nucleotide ribosomal RNA is filed under the name metagenome. Its description in RNAcentral is "bacterial LSU rRNA". It matches the Rfam family "Bacterial large subunit ribosomal RNA", at positions 1564 to 2818 of the family's 2925-position model. The record is from RNAcentral.